AUAAAGGGAAGGAAAAAGUGGUCGAAUAGCCGUUGAAGCCGUCAAGCGACAUCCGAGAUUUUGCUCGUUAGCGAUCGGAUUCGGGAUCAUUAAAGUCGAAGUCAUCUACACUAUCAAAGCCUCCAUUUUGAUAUGGAUAACUCAAAUUUAAAGCUAGAUCGAGGAAAAGAAAAAGUUUCGGAUUAGUGGAUAUUCAUACAUAAACAAGUGUCGAGUGCUUGGGAAGCUCAUAAAUGUUGCAGAUCGGUCGGAGUAUCAUCACACUAUCCACAAGUUUGUUUUGGUAUAAAAUGUAAUCUUAUUUUGGUAUAAUGGAAUGUAUAGGUUUACUUGGCCAAUGUUGGCAAGUACAUGGUUGUCUGUAAUUUAUCCAUUGGAAUGGCUAAUAAUGGUUUGUUUAGUAUAUUAAUAUGAGGUUAUAUAUAUCAUGUUUAACAUAUAUGCAUGCAGUUGGUUGAUGGAAUUAGGAUAAAAUAUA
Molecule: long non-coding RNA, 478 nt
Organism: Gossypium arboreum
Lineage: Eukaryota; Viridiplantae; Streptophyta; Magnoliopsida; Malvales; Malvaceae
Exons: 4
Source: RefSeq, a predicted model, not a curated record